UUUUGAAAUGGGCAAAAAUGUAAUUUCCAAUCUCAUUAAUGGGUAUUCCCCCCAAUAUGGGGGGAAUGACUUAUGCCUUUGGGGAAGGUAAUGAAUACCCCUAGCCUUCAAUGAUUACAUGCACAAAAGAACAUCCAAACAAGGGGGAAGGAAUGUGUAAUCAAUGAUUACCCUACCAAGGCUAAUCAUUGAUGUCAUCCAAACACAAGGGUACGUUUGGGAGCUGGAUUCAUCCCUUGGGAGUGGGAAUGGGAUGCACCCAUGUGGUUUAAACCCUUGUUUGGCAACCAGGGAAGGAAUGAGUAAAGGGUUAGCAUGGUAAUGGGAAGGCUGCAUGUGGGGUCUUCCUAAUCCUGUCAAAAUUGAGGGGAGUUGGACUCCUGAGUUGUAUGAUGACUAUUUUGCCCUUACUUUUGAAAAAAUUUCCACCUUUUUCUUUCUCUUUUCCCAUUGCCUUUGUUUUUCCUCUUUUCCCAUUGGAGAUCCAGCUUCCAUUGUCCCUCAUCUCCGAGCUUCAGAUCCAUCGCCGACGCCGACACCGACGCCAAUUUCGUCCUUUCUCCCUCCCUUCCUCUCUGAUUUGGCCUCGGACAUUUAACCAGGAUGGAUCAAGAAUCACAACAAAGGGGUAGAGGUAUAAACAAACACUAGUGGACUACAUAAGAAGAUAAGGCCUUGAUUGAAGCUCUAGUUGAGUUAUCGACAAAUACACUGUGGCGAGCUGAGAAAGGAUUCAGAAAUGGUUAUUUACAUCAAUUAGAGAAAAUGAUAAAAGAUAGAUUUCCGUAUACUACAUUGAUGGCUGCGCCAAAUAUAGAGUCGCGGGUGAAACUUUUUAGAACCAAAACUACAGCAAUUGCAGAUAUACUUUCAAUCAGUGGCUUUCCUUGGAACAAUGAGCACAGUACCAUUGAAUGUGAGAAAAGUGCAUAUAAUGAAUAUGUUAAGAUUCAUAAAGAAGAUGCGGGACUUUAUGGUAAGUCAUUUCCAUUUUUUAAUGAUCUCACUCCAGUCUUCACAAAGGAUAGGGCACAAGGCAAUGCAAGGGGUGACCUUGGAGAUGAUGUUGACCAAUAAAUGCAUGAAAACAUUAGCUUGGACGAUAAUGCCAGUUUCUCUCAAUUUCAUAUGGAAGAUGUUUUCAUGCCCACAGAUGAACAUGCAGAGCCUCCAUCACCUAUAACUUCAGAUAAUGGCGCCUCAAGCUCUAUUGCCCAAAAGAAGAAAAAAUGCGCUAAAGAAUCGAAUAUCGCAUCAAUUUCAGAAAUUUUCACCAUUUUGUGGAUUUGGUGGACCCAGGCUUCAAAGCAAUGGCUGAAUGUGUUGUUCGAAAUGCCGAUGCUAAUGCGCUUAGGGAAGCAGCUCAUAAGGAAGUUCAAGAGAAAAAGAAGCUAUUGAAUCAAGUUAUCUUCAACAUUGAUGGCCUAUCCAAAGAUGAGGCAUUAGUGGUAAUGCAAUCUUUAAGAAAAGACGAGGAAAAGCUUAAUAUGUUUUGGAAUUUGCCCGAUGACAAAAAACUACGUUUUUGUCGCCUACUUCUAGGAGGAAGGGACACAAUGUAGAAGAGGCAAUCAUGUCCAUGCCCGAGCCAUACCAUGACGAAACUUCAACUUUGCUUGUUAUGUUCAAUGAAAAAAUGUUUAUCUUAUGAAUGGUUGUAAGAUUACCAAAACUAUUAUGUUGUAUUUUAUUAGUACUAUGU
Dioscorea cayenensis subsp. rotundata (Guinea yam) is the source of this 1702-nucleotide long non-coding RNA. RefSeq lists it as uncharacterized. NCBI's taxonomy places the organism in Eukaryota, Viridiplantae, Streptophyta, Magnoliopsida, Dioscoreales, Dioscoreaceae. The transcript has 4 exons. The record is from RefSeq and is a predicted model, not a curated record.